UGUGCCCUUGAGGCGUGGCUUCCGGAGCUAACGCGUUAAGUCGACCGCCUGGGGAGUACGGCCGCAAGGUUAAAACUCAAAUGAAUUGACGGGGGCCCGCACAAGCGGUGGAGCAUGUGGUUUAAUUCGAUGCAACGCGAAGAACCUUACCUGGUCUUGACAUCCACGGAAGUUUUCAGAGAUGAGAAUGUGCCUUCGGGAACCGUGAGACAGGUGCUGCAUGGCUGUCGUCAGCUCGUGUUGUGAAAUGUUGGGUUAAGUCCCGCAACGAGCGCAACCCUUAUCCUUUGUUGCCAGCGGUCCGGCCGGGAACUCAAAGGAGACUGCCAGUGAUAAACUGGAGGAAGGUGGGGAUGACGUCAAGUCAUCAUGGCCCUUACGACCAGGGCUACACACGUGCUACAAUGGCGCAUACAAAGAGAAGCGACCUCGCGAGAGCAAGCGGACCUCAUAAAGUGCGUCGUAGUCCGGAUUGGAGUCUGCAACUCGACUCCAUGAAGUCGGAAUCGCUAGUAAUCGUGGAUCAGAAUGCCACGGUGAAUACGUUCCCGGGCCUUGUACACACCGCCCGUCACACCAUGGGAGUGGGUUGCAAAAGAAGUAGGUAGCUUAACCUUCGGGAGGGCGCUUACCACUUUGUGAUUCAUGACUGGGGUGAAGUCGUAACAAGGUAACCGUAGGGGAACCUGCGGUUGGAUCACCUCCUUACCUUAAAGAAGC
RNAcentral lists this ribosomal RNA (720 nucleotides) under Escherichia coli. RNAcentral's name for it is "bacterial SSU rRNA". It matches the Rfam family "Bacterial small subunit ribosomal RNA", at positions 825 to 1533 of the family's 1533-position model. Lineage: Bacteria; Pseudomonadati; Pseudomonadota; Gammaproteobacteria; Enterobacterales; Enterobacteriaceae. The record is from RNAcentral.